UGGGGAAUUUUGGACAAUGGGGGAAACCCUGAUCCAGCCAUCCCGCGUGUGCGAUGAAGGCCUUCGGGUUGUAAAGCACUUUUGGCAGGAAAGAAACGUCAUGGGUUAAUACCCCGUGAAACUGACGGUACCUGCAGAAUAAGCACCGGCUAACUACGUGCCAGCAGCCGCGGUAAUACGUAGGGUGCAAGCGUUAAUCGGAAUUACUGGGCGUAAAGCGUGCGCAGGCGGUUCGGAAAGAAAGAUGUGAAAUCCCAGAGCUCAACGUUGGAACUGCAUUUGUAACUACCGGGCUAGAGUGUGUCAGAGGUAGGUGGAAUUCCGCGUGUAGCAGUGAAAUGCGUAGAUAUGCGGAAGAACACCGAUGGCGAAGGCAGCCUCCUGGGAUAACACUGACGCUCAUGCACGAAAGCGUGGGGAGCAAACAGG
This 429-nucleotide ribosomal RNA is filed under the name Acidobacteriota bacterium. Its description in RNAcentral is "Acidobacteria bacterium partial 16S ribosomal RNA". It matches the Rfam family "Bacterial small subunit ribosomal RNA", at positions 355 to 776 of the family's 1533-position model. Lineage: Bacteria; Pseudomonadati; Acidobacteriota. The record is from RNAcentral.